RNAcentral lists this ribosomal RNA (459 nucleotides) under uncultured bacterium. Its description in RNAcentral is "bacterial SSU rRNA". It matches the Rfam family "Bacterial small subunit ribosomal RNA", at positions 28 to 499 of the family's 1533-position model. The record is from RNAcentral.
GACGAACGCUGGCGGCGUGCCUAACACAUGCAAGUCGAACGGGGAUAUUGAUUUCGGUUGAUAUCCCAGUGGCGAACGGGUGAGUAACGCGUGAGCAACCUGACCUUUUGAGGGGGAUAACACCUGGAAACAAGUGCUAAUACCGCAUAAGACCACGGAGCGGCAUCGUUCAGGGGUCAAAGGAGGAAUCCGCAGAAGGAGGGGCUCGCGUCCCAUUAGAUAGUAGGCGGGGUAACGGCCCACCUAGUCGACGAUGGGUAGCCGAGCUGAGAGGCUGAUCGGCCACACUGGAACUGAGACACGGUCCAGACUCCUACGGGAGGCAGCAGUGGGGAAUAUUGGGCAAUGGGCGCAAGCCUGACCCAGCAACGCCGCGUGAGGGAAGAAGGCUUUCGGGUUGUAAACCUCUGUCCUUGGUGACGAAGGAAGUGACGGUAGCCAAGGAGGAAGCCCCGGCUA